GCGGUAAUACGUAGGGUGCAAGCGUUAAUCGGAAUUACUGGGCGUAAAGCGUGCGCAGGCGGUUCGGAAAGAAAGAUGUGAAAUCCCAGGGCUCAACCUUGGAACUGCAUUUUUAACUACCGGACUAGAGUAUGUCAGAGGGGGGUGGAAUUCCACGUGUAGCAGUGAAAUGCGUAGAUAUGUGGAGGAACACCGAUGGCGAAGGCAGCCCCCUGGGAUAAUACUGACGCUCAUGCACGAAAGCGUGGGGAGCAAACAGGAUUA
Molecule: ribosomal RNA, 264 nt
Filed under: Advenella mimigardefordensis
Lineage: Bacteria; Pseudomonadati; Pseudomonadota; Betaproteobacteria; Burkholderiales; Alcaligenaceae
Description: partial 16S ribosomal RNA
Rfam family: Bacterial small subunit ribosomal RNA
Source: RNAcentral